CGCAGGAGCCUGAGAAAUACGACCUUUAAUGUGAAACAGAUCAGGAGUCCAACAGGAAACUGAACAAUGACCGGCGAGAACACACACACACACACACACACACACUGUGCAAAGUGAAGCAGGGGAACAAACGCGGUCAGAGAUCAGCUGUGAUGUAAAUUCAUGGUUCAAACUCACAGAGUGCAGCAGACUCUCAGCACAGUAACAUCCACCAUCACAGCGCCACUGAGAUCCUCUGGUUCUUUUACAAAGUUCCCCAUGAUGACUCGUGUUUUCUUCACCUCGCGGCGUUUUCCCAUUAUAGCGUGUAUAGGAGGAGGAGUCUGCCAGCUGUAGCUUGUUUGCAGACUCGGUGCGUUUUGCACUAAGCCAGUGCUUCUAUGGGUCAGGCUUAGUUCCAGUCUGAAUUAAAAUGAAUUAAUUAUAUUUUUUCCUCUUGUUUUCAAAAAGAGUUUCUUUGACGGACAGCUUGUGAGGAGACACAGCAGCAGGGAUAUUUGGUCAUGACCGUCUCCGUUUAACUCUGCGAUGGAGUCAAGUAUGAGACUUAUUGUUCUUCUGAUUGUGAUGAGAUUUUCUGCUUCUGAGGAAGUGAAGAAGAACCUGACGGGCACUGUGGGAGGAAACAUCACUCUACCUGACUCUGUGCAGGAGAAAGACGUAGGAUUUCUGUUAUAUGGAAGAACGAAUAUUGCUCAUGUGAUUAAGGGGGGAUUUGAAAUACACAAGGACAUUUACAUGAACAGACUUCAGUGGGACAGAAACUCUGGACUCUUUACACUCACAGAGCUGCAGAGGGACGACUCAGGGAUUUAUACUGUCGACUCUAAAACAGGAAAAGUUUUCACAUCAUCAUAUAAGCUCACAGUGUACGAUCCUGUACCAACACCUAACGUGACAAAGCUGAACUCCAGCUCUGAGAGCUGCUCCUUACUGUGUUGGGUGGACAGAGAGACCACACUGCUGUGGUUCAAAGACGAGCAGAUGCUGAACCAGAGCAGCUCUGCGCUCUCUCUGCCUCUCACUGUGCACAAACAGGACUUCAGCUCCUCUUACAGAUGUGUGGCUGCAAACCCUGCAGAGGAGAAAACUCUUCCUGUCCGUGUGAGAACCACCUGUGGAGACACAGACGACAACGACACCAACAGCUCGACUGAACCAAGAAACUAUAACAUCCUCAUUAUAAUCUUCUGUCUCCUGUUGGUUGUGAUGAUCAUACUUGCUACUUUCAUCAUCAAGUCAAAGUAUCUUUCCCGAAACAAAACGAAGACAAACGGACAGGCACAAGGCAGUCUCAUUGUGUCACGGGCUGCGACGGCAGACCGUGGAGUUGUAGAGAAAGUAGGGCCCAAACACGAGACUCUAGUGAAGGACGGUGGAUUUAUUUAUGGCUCCGCAGGCACACAGGAAGAGGUCCAAUAUAGUGAAAUACAAAUAAGCAACAACAGACAGGGGGAAAAUAUACCAGAGUCCUCAACAACGAUCUGCCACACCAACCUGACCACAGUAUACGAUAAGCUGGAGGCCCAUCGCAUGAUCACGGACAACCAUGCUGAAAAUACCUGAGACCACACGAGAAAUUCCCAACCGAGAGUUUCCAGAAAGAAAAUUUUCAGGUUAUUGUUUUUUUGACUGAAUUAGUUGCUUUCGUUUUAUUUACAUUAUUUCAUUUAUUUUACGAACUGCAUGUGCCUCUGUGUCAGCCUGUUAGAUUUCUGUUAUUGAGUCUCACAUUUCAGUUGAAUUCACAGCAAAGCUUGUUUUCACUUCCUGCAGCUAAUAAAAAGUCUGUGCAUGAAGGAAUUUGGGAAAUGAGUCAAUGAUUUAAAAACAACUAACACACUCAGCUCAGGUACAGCUGAACUGGUUUCAUAGUUAAAGCUGUCGACUGAAUGCAGCGAAGCAGCCACGAUGUCCAAACAUCGGCUUUGUGUGAAAGAGAUCAACCGAGUUCCACUUUUGAGUUACACAAUUUUGUACCACAAGACGUGCAGCGAGUCAGUCUUGUUUUCUCCAUCCAGUGUUAAAAUGAUCUUCCUUGUUCAGCCCAGACUGUGCAGGCUGGUGGUGGCAUCUCACCCGGACUGUUGGCUGAUACUUUUGGUGAUUUAUGUUCAGACUGGUUCCAAAAAACAUUUCAUCCUUCAUGUUUUCUGUCUUGUUCUCCCACUCUUGGUUUUCUGUGUCUGUGUGUUUCCUUGGAAAUAUCAUAACCUCAUUUUGUAAAUAAACCUGUUCAAACCUUUCCAUUGCUCAGCAUGUGGGUCCUUCCUUCUGCCUGCAGACUAGUGUUACCUGUUGCUUGUCAGGUGAUACUCCCUCUAACCCGGAUGCUCCCAUUGGUCCAGAGCCGUCCUCUGGUUCUCAGCAGCAGUGUGGACCAACAUCACCUGGAACCUCUGUUACAAAAAGACUUUUUUGUGUAAUGAUCAGUGUUGGGAAGGUUACUUUUAACAUGAAUUCCACUACAGAUUACAGAUUACAUGCCCCAAAAUGUAUUUUGUAAUGUAAUCCAUUACAUUACUCAAUGAGAGUAACGUAUUCUGAAUACUUUGGAUUACUUAAUAUAUUAUCAUCCUUUUUACAACUACAUGAAUGUGAUUUAUUACUAUUACUGAAGGUUACUCUCCACACCAACACCAGCUAGAUGUUUGAAUCUUAAUAUAAAUGAGUAACAGUAGGUGGACAUUAGGUAAGGCUGCACUUUUUGCUGUGAUCUCGUGUAGAAAACUAUUCCUCGCGUAUAUAAAACAGGUCCGCGGCUCUGAACCGUAGUAAAGGGACCUCUGGCUGAUACGUCGGGUUCAUGUCGGCUCGUAGCUGAAAACUAGCUUUGCUUUGUUGUCUGGGUCACUUUGCUAGCAGAGACAGAGAGAGGCGUUGAAAGGCUGCUGCAACAGAACUUAUUGUUUCAGAGGAAACAGGAACACAGUGUACAGUCGAGUCUUAACAGCUUACUCACAGCUGGGCUCGUCGGCUCUGUUUGGCUGCAGUGGUUAUUAUUAUAUUUACAUGCUUCAUACAUGCGAUGCCUGUAACACUCUGCCUAUUGCCUUCAUAUUAAAUCUUUUUUUGAAUAAUAAUUUUUUUAAAUAUUCCUUCGCGUCAUUAUGCGGCUGCAAGUAGAGGUGACAUGAGCCGUGACGUUCAGACACGGCAUUAGAGCCUCGCGUGUUUUGUUUGGGUUUCCACCGGCGUGGACUUACAGAAAAUAGAGAGGGGACAGCCGAACAUAUGAAACAGGAAAAUACCGCCGUGUAAUCCGUUUAUUUUGACAAAGUUACUGUAUUCUAAGUACCACCUUUUUAAACGGUAACUGUAACUGAAUACAGUUACUCAUAUUUUGUAUUUUAAAUAUGUAACGGCGGUACAUGUACUCCAUUACUUCCCAAGACUGGUAAUAACCAUAUUCAACAUUACAAGGACACUCAGCAGCAACCGGUCCAACCAGGUCGGGUCCAAGCAGCUCUGCAGCCGUCUUCUCAACAGCCAACUCUCUGCACCUCAUAUGUCCUCGCCAGCUGACUGUAAUACUGCUGAAUACUGAAAUGUCUGAUCUUAAUCAGAGAUCCGUCCAUCUGUCAAUCAGACCCUCUUUUCUGCUGACUCAGUUAAAGAAGCUUACACCUCACCUCUGGUAUCUGUUGGUCUCUCAGCUAUAGUAACUGCACUCGUGCACAAUCCAGGGAUUCAGCAGCUUUUGUCCUGCGUCCAGUUUGUUUGAAAUCCUGGUGGAAACGGUGGCUUCUGAUGUUCAUGCUCACCUCUCUGCCAAUAACCUUCAUGAACAAUAACAUGUGGUUUCCACCUCCUCACAGCAACAGCCUCGGUAAAUGUCCACACCCAGUUCAUUCUCUGAACUCACACCCAAGGAUCUGACCUGGAGUCUGUUCUGUUUAUUAUUUAUCUACUUCUUAUUGGUCAAAUCUUCCCCUUAAUAUCAGUUCAGCAUCAUUAUCAUUAUUAUCAUUAUUAAUUAAUUAAUAUUUGCUGGUUUUAUACGUUUUAAGCUUUGGUUUCUGUCCUGUGGAGCUAAACGUGAUCACUGAUGUUCAACAACAUUUAUUAGUUUAUAAAGUCCUAAUCCAUAACACACCCGUCCCUGUGUGAUGUCACUGUUACUUUAGUAGUGUGUGACAGCUAAUGUUUUUUCUUCUGCCCACAUAUUCUGUGAUAUUCUGCAAACGUGUAAUUAACAUGUAACUAAAGGCACAUUAAUCUGUCAUUUUUAACAAUGAAGUUAUUUAUAUUUGCAUGCCAAUAAAGACUGAACUUAUCAGACUGUUAUGGUG
Molecule: long non-coding RNA, 4292 nt
Organism: Astatotilapia calliptera (eastern happy)
Lineage: Eukaryota; Metazoa; Chordata; Actinopteri; Cichliformes; Cichlidae
Source: Ensembl